Molecule: long non-coding RNA, 1203 nt
Filed under: Cervus hanglu yarkandensis (Yarkand deer)
Lineage: Eukaryota; Metazoa; Chordata; Mammalia; Artiodactyla; Cervidae
Description: lncRNA (ENSCHYG00000009361.1)
Source: RNAcentral
GGGAUCAAGUUCCUUUGGGUGGUUACCACGCGUCUAUCCCGCCAAGGGCCUUCCUUUCCUUUCCCCAUCUCUCCUCCCCCAGCCUGGAGGGAGGAGGGUCUAAUUCAACUACCGGUCGGUUUGCGGGUGGAGAUUGCCCAGGCCUGCGUUUUGGUUUCCAGCCCCACAGCUCUGGCAACGUGACCCAGAAGCCUAAGGCUGGGCGUGGGGGCAGCGGGCCGCCCUGGAUUCGGCCAAGAACCCUAGCAAGGCCCGGGAGGUCCAGCGGCCGCCGCUGGCUCCACGAAGCCUACAACAACCUGGCCUCCUUGUAUGUGCGAGAAGGUGGGGGGCGGGGGGGCGUGGGAGGCAUGGGGGGUGCGAGGCCCCCCUCUGGGUGCAGUUCAAUGGGGAGGUUUGGUAGGAGCUUCUCCUGCCGCCUCACAUUUUCCGCCCUGUGGCCCCAGAGCCCAUGUAUCUUCUGUUCCUGCAGGAGGAGUCCUAAGUCCGGAAAGCUGAAGGCCCAGAAGCUGCUGGAGCCGGACCUGGGCUUCCCCGAAGAAACGCAGGACAACCCUCCAAGUGCUAUCGGCAGCCGGUGUGGAGGAAAAGGAGGACCCGAAGAGGCCGAGGUCACGGCAAGCGUUAAUCUCAUCCCGCCAUCUAGGAAAUGGAGGUCCGAUGAAGGGAGCUAGAAACUGUCAUGCGCUGGCAGCCUCGCCAAGUGCAAACGAGGCCUGGCCUGGAGAACCGGGAACUCAGGUGAGACCCAGACCCACCGGCUUUCUCUCCUAAAGGGGCGGGGCGGGGGGUGGCGGGGAGAGGUUGCGUUCUCCUUAAGGGGGGAUAGAAACCUAGGUUCUGAGACUGUAGGGAGCCGGGACUGGGACGCAGAGAAGUGAUGCUUCCCCUGCGACCCAGGCCUACCCGCCAAGCUCCAGAAACCUUCGCAUCCUCAGAGGUUGCCUGCCUCCUGGGAUGGGGUAGAUGGGCUUGAAAAGGAUGCUCUAUUUCCCUUUAGGCCUGCAAAGUCCCCUCAACAGUCUAGGCCCUCGCUCCCAGUCCCCGCCAGUGGCAGCGUGGUCGGGGCUCCAAGGCCGGAGCGCGGGAAUACGGGAAAGUGGGGGCCUGCCAAGUGGGUGGCAUGGGACAAAACGAAUCCAGGAUUCUGGGAGAAACUGGGAGAAGUGGAGGUUUGGGUGACCGCCGCCCCAAGGUGACCCU